Molecule: ribosomal RNA, 441 nt
Filed under: uncultured bacterium
Lineage: Bacteria
Description: partial 16S ribosomal RNA
Rfam family: Bacterial small subunit ribosomal RNA
Source: RNAcentral
CUACGGGAUGCUCCAGUGGGGAAUAUUGGGCAAUGGGCGCAAGCCUGACCCAGCAACGCCGCGUGAGGGAAGAAGGUUUUCGGAUUGUAAACCUCUGUCCUUGGGGACGAAGAAGUGACGGUACCCAAGGAGGAAGCUCCGGCUAACUACGUGCCAGCAGCCGCGGUAAUACGUAGGGAGCAAGCGUUGUCCGGAAUUACUUGGCGUAAAGGGUGCGUAGGCGGCAUAUUAAGUCAGGUGUGAAAUACUCGGGCUCAACCCGGGGGCUGCAUUUGAACCUGGUAUGCUUGAGUGUGAGAGAGGAAAGUGGAAUUCCUAGUGUAGCGGUGGAAUGCGUAGAUAUUAGGAGGAACACCAGUGGCGAAGGCGACUUUCUGGCUCAUAACUGACGCUGAGGCACGAAAGCGUGGGGAGCAAACAGGAUUAGAUACCCGCGUAGUC